This 463-nucleotide long non-coding RNA is filed under the name Homo sapiens (human). RNAcentral describes it as "HSALNT0378358". The record is from RNAcentral. Lineage: Eukaryota; Metazoa; Chordata; Mammalia; Primates; Hominidae.
GUUGGCCAGGGAACAGGCUCAGAGCAAGAAAUUUGUGUGUGGAAGAUUUACUGGAUACUGCUCUUAGGAAAAGCAUCUGUGAAAGGAAGAGAGGAGAGGAGGAUUGGACAGCAGACCUGAGGUGAUCCUUCAAAAUUGUCUAGAAUUGAGGAGCUCGCUGAAGGAAGUUAUAAAAUCCAUGACUUAAUAAUGGAGAUACUAUUUUUCUUGAACGUAAACAAUCUUCAUGUUUGCCACUUGCAAUGGACUGAAUUAUGUCUCUCCCAAAUUGAUGUAUUGAAGCUCUAACUCUCAAAGUGAUUCUAUCUAAGGAUAGGAUAUUUAAAAGCGAGAACACAGUGAGUGAGAAGGUGGCCAUCUGCAAACAAGGGAAAGAGCUCUCAUCAGACCUCAACACACCGGCAUUCUGAUUUCGGACUUCCAGCCACCCAAACCAUGAGAAAAUAAAUUUCUGUUAUUUAAG